Dermacentor andersoni is the source of this 1585-nucleotide long non-coding RNA. RefSeq lists it as uncharacterized. The record is from RefSeq and is a predicted model, not a curated record. NCBI's taxonomy places the organism in Eukaryota, Metazoa, Arthropoda, Arachnida, Ixodida, Ixodidae.
AUUCAAGAAAGGUUUCCAGGGUAGAUAAUUUAGUUCGUAAUUUACACUAAUUUUGCUCUAACCACGAGACAUAAUAAUUUGAAUAUACUGCACGGAAAAACCUAGAGCGAAUUAAAUUGUGUGUCAGCUUCGUGUGUAUACAUAUAGUCUUUCCUAUGCAUUAGGUUUUUUGCGCAAUGCAUCAACAGUUGACAGCCUAUCUUAUGAUGUGUACUCUGUUUACAUUACAGUUGUUUAUUAGUUUACUCGUUUGUUUUGCGACUGAUGAAAUGCCGGCAUAUAUAUAUUUUCAACAUUUGACAUAACCCUGUAUGUCUUGCAGGGACAACCCAGGACGUGCAUUUCUCAGCACCUAGUCAACUGCCAAAAGUGACUCAAACACAGGCCACCAGUGGAACUCGGCUGUACCACUGCAGUGCUGCGGAAAUUGCCUUCACCAGCGGCUUUGCAACACCUGUUUCGCAGCAUGUCGGAGACAAUGCCUACGAAAUUAUUGGCCCUGAUCAUGUGAGCCCUCAAGGGGCAAACAGCAUCUCUGUUGCAGAAGUGAGCCCGAUACCACUUGGAAGUUACCAUGACAGAUGACACGGCAGCAAUACAUACAGAGACUGCCAUGUUUACUGCAGCUGCAACAGUGUACGAGGCAAGCAGCAGCGCGUCAGCAUCAGCAGCAGUUUCAGAAGGAACCACACCAGGCCUGGUAGAGCAACAUGUGUCCUAUCACUGACUUUUUUUGUAGUGGAUACAACUCAUUUGCUCAACAUACAAAAGCUUUUCACCACGACUGUGAGCCAGUGUUAUUGUGCAGCAAGUGCAAGAAUAAGUUAGGUGUUAUAACACAGUACAAGCAUCACUUUAAUAUAUGCAAAUGCAAACAUAUUACAGUUGUUGCCUCCCCAGCCAGCCCACAUAGUGACAACAAUGUGGAACACAUGGUGGGACACACCUCUCCCCCAUUACAAGAUAGUAGAGACUGUCAGUGUUGUUGCUAGAUUGACUGGUCUUUGUAGGCAACUAGAAGGACAACACAGGUGUCAUAAGAUUGUUGUUGAUGUUGUUGUUGAAGAGGUAAAAAAGAAGUUUGAUGCAGCUGAAGUGCCAACUGAUAUUGAGCAAAUCAAAAGCAACCACCUGAGAAAGCAACACUAUCGAAAUUUGGGUAUCUAUGUGCUGCCAACUCUGGUAAGAAUGGCAUAGGACAGAAGUGUGAUGAAAAUCACACAGACACUGCUGUUGCAUCACUGGCCACAGUGAGCAGCGACUUGUAGGGCAAGAGAGUCAACUGAAACUAACAUUAUGAUAUAGUGUCAUGCUCCCAUGUGACCACUUUUCAAGUUAUUUUGCAAGAUACAGCUCAACCUCCAGAAACGAGACUGCAACUUGUCUGUAAAAAAGCUUUCACAAAAAAUUAUUCAUAACACUAUUAACAUAGCAGUAUCUAUUUUUUUGUGUCGGUUCGAGGUUCCCGGCUGUCCAUUAAUGCAAAAAUUGAGGAAAAAAAGAACAUGUGUCGUACUUACACCUUUUUAACAAGUAUGAGGGGGACAGAACUUUUCUAGUCUUGCAUCUUCAUCAUACUAUCAAG